RNAcentral lists this ribosomal RNA (546 nucleotides) under Candidatus Atelocyanobacterium thalassae. Its description in RNAcentral is "bacterial SSU rRNA". It matches the Rfam family "Bacterial small subunit ribosomal RNA", at positions 498 to 1042 of the family's 1533-position model. The record is from RNAcentral. Lineage: Bacteria; Bacillati; Cyanobacteriota; Cyanophyceae; Chroococcales; Aphanothecaceae.
UAGUCUGGUGCCAGCAGCCGCGGUAAUACGGAGGAUGCAAGCGUUAUCCGGAAUCAUUGGGCGUAAAGCGUCCGCAGGUGGUUUCCAAAGUCUGCUGUUAAAGACUGGAGCUCAACUCCGGAACGGCGGUGGAAACUUGGAAACUAGAGUUCGGUAGGGGUAGCAGGAAUUCCCAGUGUAGCGGUGAAAUGCGUAGAUAUUGGGAAGAACAUCGGUGGCGAAGGCGUGCUACUGGACCGUAACUGACACUCAGGGACGAAAGCUAGGGGAGCGAAAGGGAUUAGAUACCCCUGUAGUCCUAGCUGUAAACGAUGGAAACUAGGUGUGGCUUGUAUCGACCCGAGCCGUGCCGUAGCUAACGCGUUAAGUUUCCCGCCUGGGGAGUACGCACGCAAGUGUGAAACUCAAAGGAAUUGACGGGGGCCCGCACAAGCGGUGGAGUAUGUGGUUUAAUUCGAUGCAACGCGAAGAACCUUACCAGGGCUUGACAUGUCGCGAAUCUCGGUGAAAGCUGAGAGUGCCUUCGGGAGCGCGAACGCAGGUGGU